GUUAACAUAGUUUAAUAAAAACAUUAGGUUGUGGGCCUAAAAACAGAAGUUCGACCCUUCUUGUAGACC
RNAcentral lists this transfer RNA (69 nucleotides) under Anomalopus verreauxii (Three-clawed worm-skink). RNAcentral describes it as "tRNA-His". It matches the Rfam family "tRNA". From Rfam's summary of the family: Transfer RNA (tRNA) molecules are approximately 80 nucleotides in length. Lineage: Eukaryota; Metazoa; Chordata; Lepidosauria; Squamata; Scincidae. The record is from RNAcentral.